GUCAUAUGUGGCAAGCGUUGUUCGGAAUCACUGGGCAUAAAGAGCACGUAGGCGGUGAAGUAAGUUAACUGUGAAAUCCCCCGGCUUAACUGGGGAAUUGCAGUUAAUACUGCUUUACUAGAGUACAAGAGGGGAGAGUGGAAUUCUAGGUGUAGCGGUGGAAUGCGAAGAUAUCUAGGAGAAGGCCGGUGGCGAAAGCGACUCUCUAGCUUGUAACUGACGCUGAGGUGCGAAAGCGUAGGUAGCGAACGGGAUUAGAUACCCCAGUA
RNAcentral lists this ribosomal RNA (269 nucleotides) under uncultured prokaryote. Its description in RNAcentral is "partial 16S ribosomal RNA". It matches the Rfam family "Bacterial small subunit ribosomal RNA", at positions 524 to 792 of the family's 1533-position model. The record is from RNAcentral.